Molecule: long non-coding RNA, 630 nt
Filed under: Felis catus (domestic cat)
Lineage: Eukaryota; Metazoa; Chordata; Mammalia; Carnivora; Felidae
Description: lncRNA (ENSFCAG00000045507.2)
Source: RNAcentral
AUGCUGUGCACAGGCCUUGAAAAUGGGAGGGGCCUCUCCUCCAGAGUUAUUGGGAACGGCGGAAGGUUCUGGAAGACGCGUCUAUUAAGGAGGUCACUUCUGCUUGGCAACAAACCGGACCACGAGGCUGGAUCAGUCCCAGCCUCCGCAGCGGACCCGUCCAGAUCUGAGCGUGGGACCCUCACGUGGCGCUCUUGGCCAGCACGUUUCCCGUGGACCUCCUGGCGGGCAUCCUGGCACAGUGGUGUAGCCGUGUCCCCGCAGACGUCACCAUGGAGCUUCGUGAGACGGUGGCCACGUGGCUCUGAGUGUUGGGGGGGUGGUGUCGGCAGUGAGGGCAGGUUACGGGCCCCCGAGAGCCUGGUUCCGUUUGUGAACAGAGUGUGGGCACCAAAGGGGACUUGGAAAGCGGUCCUCACGUGUCUCAGCCCAUCGGGACGUCCGUAGCAAAGGCACCAUGGACAGGGGCUCACACAGACGAGUUCAUUCCCAUCUUCUGGAGGCGGGGAAUCCCAAGACCACGGCGCCACAGUCCCGCCAUCGGGUGAGGCUGCCUCCUAGCCGUGUCCUCCGGAGGUGGAAGGGGACCGAUUGUUUUGGGGGCCACAGAGGGGGACAGCGCGUCAACAU